UGGGGAAUAUUGGGCGAUGGGGGAAACCCUGACCCAGCGACGCCGCGUGAGGGAAGAAGGUUCUCGGAUUGUAAACCUCUGUUCUUGGUGAAGAGAAGAAGACGGUAGCCAAGGAGGAAGCCCCGGCUAACUACGUGCCAGCAGCCGCGGUAAUACGUAGGGGGCGAGCGUUGUCCGGAAUGAUUGGGCGUAAAGGGCGCGUAGGCGGCUGAUUAAGUCUGGAGUGGAAGUCCUAUUUUUAAGGUAGGAAUUGCUUUGGAAACUGAUCAGCUUGAGUGCAGGAGAGGUUAUCGGAAUUCCCGGUGUAGCGGUGAAAUGCGUAGAGAUCGGGAGGAACACCAGUGGCGAAGGCGGGUAACUGGACUGCAACUGACGCUGAGGCGCGAAAGUGUGGGGAGCAAACAG
Molecule: ribosomal RNA, 405 nt
Filed under: uncultured bacterium
Lineage: Bacteria
Description: bacterial SSU rRNA
Rfam family: Bacterial small subunit ribosomal RNA
Source: RNAcentral